UACAGAGGGGGCAAGCGUUGUUCGGAAUUACUGGGCGUAAAGGGCGCGUAGGCGGCCUGUUAAGUCGAACGUGAAAUCCCCGGGCUCAACCCGGGAACUGCGUCCGAUACUGGCAGGCUUGAAUUCGGGAGAGGGAUGUGGAAUUCCAGGUGUAGCGGUGAAAUGCGUAGAUAUCUGGAGGAACACCAGUGGCGAAAGCGGCUUCCUGGUCCAGCACCGACGUUCAGGCACGAAAGCGUGGGGAGCAAACAGG
This 253-nucleotide ribosomal RNA is filed under the name uncultured bacterium. RNAcentral's name for it is "partial 16S ribosomal RNA". It matches the Rfam family "Bacterial small subunit ribosomal RNA", at positions 524 to 776 of the family's 1533-position model. The record is from RNAcentral.